RNAcentral lists this ribosomal RNA (434 nucleotides) under uncultured bacterium. RNAcentral's name for it is "partial 16S ribosomal RNA". It matches the Rfam family "Bacterial small subunit ribosomal RNA", at positions 29 to 507 of the family's 1533-position model. The record is from RNAcentral.
AGCGAACGCUGGCGGCAGGCCUAACACAUGCAAGUCGAACGAACCCUUCGGGGUUAGUGGCGGACGGGUGAGUAACGUGUGGGAACGUGCCUUUAGGUUCGGAAUAACUCAGGUUAACGUGGGCUAAUGCCGAAUGUGCUAUUCGGGGGAAGGAUUUGUCGCAGCUAGAGCGGCCGGCGUUUGAUUAGCUAGUCGGUUGUGGGAAUGGCGCUGCAGGGCGACGUUGAGUAGCGGGUCAGAGAGGAUGAUCAGCCACAUUGGGACUAAGACACGGCCCAGACUCCUACGGGAUGCAGCAGAGGCGGAUCUUGCGCAACGGCGGAAAUCCAGAAGCAGCCAGGCCGCGUGAAUGAUGAAGGUCGGAGGAAAGUGAAAUUCUUUCACCGGGGGCGAUAAUGACGGUACCCGGAGAAGAAGCCCCGGCUAACUUCGUG